GGAAGGUGCAAGCGUUAAUCGGAAUUACUGGGCGUAAAGCGCGCGUAGGCGGUUAGAUAAGUCGGGUGUGAAAGCCCCGGGCUCAACCUGGGAACUGCACUCGAUACUGUUUGACUAGAGUGUGAUAGAGGGAGGCGGAAUUCCGCAUGUAGCGGUGAAAUGCGUAGAGAUGCGGAGGAACACCAAUGGCGAAGGCAGCCUCCUGGAUUAACACUGACGCUGAGGUGCGAAAGCGUGGGGGGAGCAAACAGGAUUAGAUACCCUGGUAGUCCACGCUGUAAACCGAUGUCAACUAGCCGCUGGGAGCAAUUUGGCUCUUGGUGGCGUAGCUAACGCGAUAAGUUGACCGCCUGGGGAGUACGGUCGCAAGAUUA
This 374-nucleotide ribosomal RNA is filed under the name uncultured organism. RNAcentral's name for it is "partial 16S ribosomal RNA". It matches the Rfam family "Bacterial small subunit ribosomal RNA", at positions 527 to 896 of the family's 1533-position model. The record is from RNAcentral.